Molecule: ribosomal RNA, 392 nt
Filed under: uncultured bacterium
Lineage: Bacteria
Description: bacterial SSU rRNA
Rfam family: Bacterial small subunit ribosomal RNA
Source: RNAcentral
GACGAACGCUGGCGGCGUGCUUAACACAUGCAAGUCGAGCGGUAAGGCCCUUUCGGGGGUACACGAGCGGCGAACGGGUGAGUAACACGUGGGUGACCUGCCCUCAGCUCUGGGAUAAGCCCGGGAAACUGGGUCUAAUACCGGAUAUGACUCCAUGACGCAUGUCGUGGGGUGGAAAGCCUUGUGCGGCUGAGGAUGGGCCCGCGGCCUAUCAGCUUGUUGGUGGGGUGAUGGCCUACCAAGGCGACGACGGGUAGCCGGCCUGAGAGGGCGACCGGCCACACUGGGACUGAGACACGGCCCAGACUCCUACGGGAGGCAGCAGUGGGGAAUCUUGCGCAAUGGGCGAAAGCCUGACGCAGCGACGCCGCGUGAGGGAUGACGGCCUGUGU